CUCCCUAGGGCAUAUGUGGUGGUCCCCAGUUCACCCUUUGUUGCCCCAGUCUCUCUUCCUCACCCCUGCCUCAGGAUGCCUGGCUCUGAGCCACCCUGCUUUGGCGCAGGUUCUCCCCGGAGGUGCUGGGCCUGUGUGCAAGCACAGCGCUGGUGUGGGUGGUGAUGGAGGUGCUGGCCCUGCUCCUGGGCCUCUACCUGGCCACCGUGCGCAGUGACCUGAGCACCUUUCACCUGCUGGCCUACAGUGGCUACAAAUACGUGGGAAUGAUCCUCAGUGUGCUCACGGGGCUGCUGUUCGGCAGCGAUGGCUACUACGUGGCGCUGGCCUGGACCUCAUCGGCGCUCAUGUACUUCAUUGUGAGUCUGGCGCACCCCCCCAUUCCCCUGCUUUCACUUGAGGGCAAACCUCCCCCUCCUGGCCAGGCUUCAGCUCUCCUUUCUUCCAGGUGCGCUCUUUGCGGACAGCAGCCCUGGGCCCCGACAGCAUGGGGGGCCCCGUCCCCCGGCAGCGUCUCCAGCUCUACCUGACUCUGGGAGCUGCAGCCUUCCAGCCCCUCAUCAUAUACUGGCUGACUUUCCACCUGGUCCGGUGACCCCCUGGCCCCAGAUGGCACUGAGUUUUUCAUUCAUUGAAGAUUUGAUUUCCUUGA
Molecule: small RNA, 652 nt
Filed under: Pongo abelii (Sumatran orangutan)
Lineage: Eukaryota; Metazoa; Chordata; Mammalia; Primates; Hominidae
Description: retained intron
Source: RNAcentral